This 492-nucleotide ribosomal RNA is filed under the name uncultured bacterium. RNAcentral's name for it is "partial 16S ribosomal RNA". It matches the Rfam family "Bacterial small subunit ribosomal RNA", at positions 30 to 507 of the family's 1533-position model. The record is from RNAcentral.
AUUGAACGCUGGCGGUAGGCCUAACACAUGCAAGUCGAACGGCAGCACAGUAAGAGCUUGCUCUUACGGGUGGCGAGUGGCGGACGGGUGAGGAAUACAUCGGAAUCUACUUUUUAGUGGGGGAUAACGUAGGGAAACUUACGCUAAUACCUCAUACGACCUACGGGUGAAAGCAGGGGAUCUUCGGACCUUGCGCGAUUGAAUGAGCCGAUGUCGGAUUAGCUAGUUGGCGGGGUAAAGGCCCACCAAGGCGACGAUCCGUAGCUGGUCUGAGAGGAUGAUCAGCCACACUGGAACUGAGACACGGUCCAGACUCCUACGGGAGGCAGCAGUGGGGAAUAUUGGACAAUGGGCGCAAGCCUGAUCCAGCCAUACCGCGUGGGUGAAGAAGGCCUUCGGGUUGUAAAGCCCUUUUGUUGGGAAAGAAAAGCAGCAGGUUAAUACCCCGCUGUUCUGACGGUACCCAAAGAAUAAGCACCGGCUAACUUCGUG